This is a long non-coding RNA of Sinocyclocheilus anshuiensis, 1076 nucleotides long. RefSeq lists it as uncharacterized. The transcript is spliced from 3 exons. The record is from RefSeq and is a predicted model, not a curated record. NCBI's taxonomy places the organism in Eukaryota, Metazoa, Chordata, Actinopteri, Cypriniformes, Cyprinidae.
CAGUAAAGACAUGAGGUAUCUCUAUUUUAAUCUGACCUGCAACAUUACACAAUUAAUCAUCUUUAAAGGGCAAUACCUUACUCAGAUAAUGGCGUGCAUCACCUUCACCAACAAAUCCCAUCCUUUCUGAUCUUUAGCUCAGUAACAGCUGAAGCCGACACUCAAGCAUGUGUUAGUAAAAGUACUUCUGCCCAGCCACGUCUAUUUUGAGAUCAAAAAUGAAAACAUUUGAUAAUUCUGACCUGGAAACAGUUUUUGCCUCUAAUAUUGAAACUGCAAAGCAAAAAUCGUUUUAACAUUAGGUUGUAUCAUCAGAAAUACUUGCCCAGUUAAAACCAAGAAGUAAUUGCAUGUCUUUUGUGGGCAUCAUUUGAUAUAAAUCAUUUUGCAGGUUCAUAAACAAUGUUUCAAGGGUUUAUUAAAUAAAAUCACACGCUACUAUCACAGAGCUAGUCUCGCUGACUGUUAACACUUUUUUUUUUGUUUUACACAUCUUAAGUGUGCCUUAAUAGGCAAAACUGAACUGUUAAGGCAUGUCAUUAAAAGAGAAGAAAGAAAAGAAAAGGAAAAUCAAACCUGAAACCCAACAGAGAAAGGGAAAAGGGUUAGGGAUAUAUACAUUAUUUACAUGGCAGCCAGAGAUGAAGUGUAGUUAAGCCAUGUCAGUGUGUGUGUAUUCAACAAUUCAUUUUUUGGAUGUGUGUGUAUGCAGGUGUAUUUCAGUUAUUAAUAAUGUGUGCACGGUGUUUUAACCCUGGCUGCACUCGAGCAGAACUAUUCUGUGCAUGUUUGAGAUCUCAUAGUUCUCUGUUCCAGCAUUCACAGUUCACUCCCUCCUCCUAGCAAGGAAACAUGUUCCUCUGAGUAGUCCGAAUACGGUGCAAUGAAGCUGCAGCCCUCCACUUCCUUCUGGGCUUUUAGUUCUUGUCAUGCAGUCAUCAUUUCAUGUGCUGUUUGAAAUUCCUGACCUUGGGAUCUUUCUCUGAAGGAUGAGGACAGGAAUUAAGGGGAGAUGGAGAUGCAACACGAAGCACUGGAGAGCCUCCGUCUUCAUCUGAAGAUCUGGAACAGCAAAG